GAGACACCCUUCUGCGGCAAGACUUGCUUCAGUGGGGCUUUGGUGCUUACUGAGUCUGCCCCCUGAGUGUGUCCCU
This is a microRNA precursor of Myotis lucifugus (little brown bat), 76 nucleotides long. It matches the Rfam family "mir-9229 microRNA precursor family". The record is from Rfam. Lineage: Eukaryota; Metazoa; Chordata; Mammalia; Chiroptera; Vespertilionidae.